RNAcentral lists this long non-coding RNA (618 nucleotides) under Chinchilla lanigera (long-tailed chinchilla). Its description in RNAcentral is "lncRNA (ENSCLAG00000025975.1)". The record is from RNAcentral. Lineage: Eukaryota; Metazoa; Chordata; Mammalia; Rodentia; Chinchillidae.
GUAGAAAUAAUUCACUAAAUAUCAUUCAAAUGAUCUUUUUCUUUUCAGGAAAUGCUGAGGCUUAUUAACAUACCAGUUACUCAAGCAACAAGUGGUGUUCAGGUACAGCAGCCACCUCCAUCCAACAGAUUUUAUACUUUUGGAAACCAAUGGCAUGAAUAUUGUAUGCAGAAGAGAUUCAGAACAACCUUCAGAAGAACUGGACCACAAAUUUUAAAGACCCACUGGAGAAUUUCCGAGGGUGAUAAACGUCAAAACUCAGAGUCUUAAUGAGGACAAAGGGAAGGUUACAGUUGAUGAUAAGGUCUCUGAUGCUCUUCUUUUGUUAGGAAAUUCCUGACUUUAUGCAAUAGACCAAGAGAACACGACAGAGUGAGAACAUGGGUAAUAUCUUUAUGUCAAUAAAUACUGUUGAGAUGCUUGUUUCUAUGAAAUCUGUUAUGUACACGAAUGUUCAUCAGUUGACAUGAUUUCAGAUAAUGCUCUGGACCAUAAAUAUUUUUUGUUCUGCUUUUAGUUUUAAAAAUUUUUAUUUUUUAUUAAUACAUGUUUGCCAUACAUAACGAUUAUAUUCAUCAUGGAGAGUUGGUACACAUACAUAACACAUCUUUUUUACAC